This 374-nucleotide transfer-messenger RNA is filed under the name candidate division WWE3 bacterium. It matches the Rfam family "transfer-messenger RNA". From Rfam's summary of the family: Bacterial tmRNA, also known as 10Sa RNA or SsrA, is named for its dual tRNA and mRNA-like properties. Its role is to liberate the mRNA from a stalled ribosome. To accomplish this part of the tmRNA is used as a reading frame that ends in a translation stop signal. Lineage: Bacteria; candidate division WWE3. The record is from RNAcentral.
GGGGAUGUAAAGGAUUUGACUAAUGUAGUUUUGCAUAAUUGCAAGUAGGCCCGCUGGUACCUUUAAAUCAGCAAAGAUAUAAAUGCCGAAAAAGCAUUUGUGCCAGCAAUGGCAUAUGUUAACGCUUAAUUUUAAGCAAUAACAGACAACAAGAGUUCUUCCUGGAGAAUUCUUGGCUUAGUCUAAUAAAACCAGGAUGAGGUUUUUAAGUCUGGUGAGCUUAAAUUACCAAGGGAAUAAUCUCAAAGAAAGUACCUGCAGAAAGUUUAAAGGUUGAUGAACACCUGCUUUCUUAAGUUAAGUUUCAUCUAGACUUGUAGAUUUUAUGUGUAAAAUGCACUAGGACGGGAGUUCGAUUCUUCCCAUCCCUGCCA